Molecule: long non-coding RNA, 1212 nt
Filed under: Lynx pardinus (Iberian lynx)
Lineage: Eukaryota; Metazoa; Chordata; Mammalia; Carnivora; Felidae
Source: RNAcentral
CCCCAACAGCUGAGAAAAUUAAUGCAAGGUAAAGGGGAUAAAAAUGGAAGAGGGGCCCCUAGAAUCAAUGCUGCUUCUUCCUCUUGCUCAUUUCCAGGCUGCCCUGGGAUCUACUGAAUCACUGGAGUUUUAACUUUCUUGAACUGUGAAAUGGGAAAAUGAUAAUGGAAUCCUGUGUGGUUUUAUUUACUCAUUUGCUAAAACUGAAGUUUAGAUAGUCGUUCCAAACUUUGAUUUGUUUAGAACUUUAACUUGAAAGCAAAGAGAAAAAACAAGAGUGCUUACUGAUUUGACAUUAACAAAAUCGUUGAAAGUUGUCCAAAAUUAUACAGAUUUUAGUGUUUUAGUGGCAUGAAAAAGGGCUUCAAUGAAAAAAAUGUGUGUGUAUAUAUAUAUAUAUAUAUAUAUAUAUAUAUAUAUGUAACAAAAAUACGUAAAGUACAAAAGGCAAUGGGUGGAGACUCUCUGGAGGCCUGGAAUGUAGUUUAGCCUCUAUUGCUCCAUAGCCAUGGAAUCAUACCUCUCUGUGCUGCUCGGUGUCCUUGUCAUAAAAUGAUGCUAAGAGGCCAUCAAUCCUACAGUUAUUUUGCCCCCUGACACUACUACUUUAUCAUUUGAUUUUGAGAACUGAGACAUUUAUUUCUGUUCUGAUUCUUUUUUUUUUUUUUAACUGAUGUUGGACUGUAACAAUUUCCCUUUUUAGAUAUGGAAGUCGUCUUUGCAAAGAAGUGUGGUUCCUGUUUCUGCUCAGGACAGGGGAUGAGUUGGAAAAUCUUAACUUAAGGAGCACCCAGGACUUUGAAGAGGCUUUGAAUAAUUUCUUUGUUGUCAUUGCUUCAUGUUUCACUUCUUUGGGUGAUGCUCUGAAAGCACAUUGGUCAAUAUUCGGGUAAAUAUGUUAAAAUGAUUGAUAACAUGAUAUUGGAAAAUCACCAAAUUAUUUCAAAGGUAAAUGGAAUGUUAGAGUUCCAUGCCAAGAGUUUUACUUAAACAUACUUUUUAUCCUGUCUGAUGCUCUUGAUAUAAUUAACCUGUUAUUGUUAUAAAAACAAAGUUACAUUUUUUCCAAACACCUUCAUGUUCAUUUCAACUUAUCAAAAGGAAAGAGGUAAGUCUUAGAAAACCAUCUUUUAAAAAUAAUGUUGCUUUAAAAUUGUUUCACUUUGUCUAGUUUUUCAAUGUCAUCUUUUGUUUCACAGUAAAGAAAAAAAC